UAAUUAGUUAGUCCCCACUUCACCUCCUAUAGGCCAAAUACUUAUAAAUACCAUUCAAUAUUCACAAGAAAAAAACAUCCCAAAGUAUUUUGUUCUACUACUACAUUUUUUUCAUACACAAUUGUCACCAAAAAACAUCAUGGCUGAAGAAAAGAAACAUCACUUUGGUGGUCUCUUUAACCACCACAAGAACAAAGAGGAAGACACCCCCAUUGAGAAAACUACAUAUGAAGAAACAACCUAUGAAGACAGUGAAAAAACUAGCACUUAUGGAGACAACACAUAUGGUGAAAAAACUAGUUAUGGUGAUGAUACAUAUGGCAAAAAAACUACCACAUAUGGAGAUGACAACAAAUAUAGUGAGAAAACUAGUUAUGGUGAUGAUACAUAUGACGAAAAAACUAACACAUAUGGAGAUGAAAACAAAUAUGGUGAGAAAACUAGUUACAGUGAGGGAGAUGACAACAAAUAUGGUGAGAAAACUAGUUAUGGUGGUGAUACAUAUGGCGAAAAACCUACCUCCUACGGAGGAGAUAAUACAUAUGGUGAGAAAACAAGUUAUGGUGGGGGAGAUGAAAACAAGUAUGGUGAGAAAACUAGUUAUGGAGAGAAAGCUAGUUAUGGUGGAGGAGAUGACAACAAAUAUGGUGAGAAAACAAGUUAUGGUAAUGAGGAAGGUGGCUAUGGUGGAGGAGUUGGUGCCUACUCAUCUGAGACUACUACUAAUUAUGAAGAGAAUGAUGAUAGUGGAACCAAAACUUCUGAGGAUUACAAGGAAGAGAAGAAACAUCACAAGCAUCUUGAAGAACUUGGGGGACUUGGAGCUGUUGCUGCUGGUGCCUUUGCUUUGGUAAAUAUUCUUUAAUUCUAACUUUCCACGUGACAAUGCAUAUGUAUGAGAUUACAAGAUUAAAUGACAUUUUCCUACGUUAAUCUUCGAUAUGGUAUAUGAAAAUUUCAGCAU
This 964-nucleotide long non-coding RNA is filed under the name Solanum lycopersicum (tomato). Its description in RNAcentral is "long non-coding RNA (SLYC_LNC000081)". The record is from RNAcentral. Lineage: Eukaryota; Viridiplantae; Streptophyta; Magnoliopsida; Solanales; Solanaceae.